RNAcentral lists this ribosomal RNA (302 nucleotides) under uncultured bacterium. RNAcentral describes it as "partial 16S ribosomal RNA". It matches the Rfam family "Bacterial small subunit ribosomal RNA", at positions 508 to 809 of the family's 1533-position model. The record is from RNAcentral.
GCAGUCGCCGCGGGAAUACGAAGGGUGCAAGCGUUAAUCGGAAUUACUGGGCGUAAAGCGCACGUAGGCGGAUCGUUAAGUCGGGGGUGAAAUCCUGGAGCUCAACUCCAGAACUGCCUUCGAUACUGGCGAUCUUGAGUCCGGAAGAGGUGAGUGGAACUCCUAGUGUAGAGGUGGAAUUCGUAGAUAUUAGGAAGAACACCAGUGGCGAAGGCGGCUCACUGGUCCGGUACUGACGCUGAGGUGCGAAAGCGUGGGGAGCAAACAGGAUUAGAUACCCCCGUAGUCCCUGUCUCUUAUAA